UACAGAGGUCCCGAGCGUUGUUCGGAUUCAUUGGGCGUAAAGGGUGCGUAGGCGGCUUGCUAAGUUUGAUGUGAAAUCCUGGGGCUCAACCCUGGGACUGCAUUGAAUACUGGCAGGCUAGAGUACUGGAGAGGAAACUGGAAUUUACGGUGUAGCAGUGAAAUGCGUAGAGAUCGGAAAGAACACCAACGGCGAAAGCACUCUGCUGGGCCGACACUGACACUGAGAGACGAAAGCUAGGGGAGCGAAUGGG
Molecule: ribosomal RNA, 253 nt
Filed under: uncultured bacterium
Lineage: Bacteria
Description: partial 16S ribosomal RNA
Rfam family: Bacterial small subunit ribosomal RNA
Source: RNAcentral